This 376-nucleotide ribosomal RNA is filed under the name uncultured bacterium. RNAcentral's name for it is "bacterial SSU rRNA". It matches the Rfam family "Bacterial small subunit ribosomal RNA", at positions 524 to 898 of the family's 1533-position model. The record is from RNAcentral.
UACGGGGGGGGCAAGCGUUGUUCGGAAUUACUGGGCGUAAAGGGCGCGUAGGCGGCCUGCUAAGUCACACGUGAAAUCCCUCGGCUCAACCGGGGAACUGCGUGUGAUACUGGCGGGCUUGAAUUCGGGAGAGGGAUGUGGAAUUCCAGGUGUAGCGGUGAAAUGCGUAGAUAUCUGGAGGAACACCGGUGGCGAAGGCGGCAUCCUGGACCGAGAUUGACGCUGAGGCGCGAAAGCUAGGGUAGCAAACGGGAUUAGAUACCCCGGUAGUCCUAGCCCUAAACGAUGAGUGCUUGGUGUGGCGGGUAUCGAUCCCUGCCGUGCCGAAGCUAACGCAUUAAGCACUCCGCCUGGGGAGUACGGUCGCAAGGCUGAA